RNAcentral lists this ribosomal RNA (471 nucleotides) under uncultured bacterium. Its description in RNAcentral is "partial 16S ribosomal RNA". It matches the Rfam family "Bacterial small subunit ribosomal RNA", at positions 28 to 506 of the family's 1533-position model. The record is from RNAcentral.
GACGAACGCUGGUGGCGUGCUUAACACAUGCAAGUCGAACGCUGAAGCUUGGUGCUUGCACUGGGUGGAUGAGUGGCGAACGGGUGAGUAAUACGUGAGUAACCUGCCCUUGACUCUGGGAUAAGCCUGGGAAACUGGGUCUAAUACUGGAUAUGACAUGCCACUGCAUGGUGGUGUGUGGAAAGGGUUUUACUGGUUUUGGAUGGGCUCACGGCCUAUCAGCUUGUUGGUGGGGUAAUGGCCUACCAAGGCGACGACGGGUAGCCGGCCUGAGAGGGUGACCGGCCACACUGGGACGGGGAAAGGGCCAAGACUCAUACGGGAGGAAGAGGGGGGGAAAAUGGAAAAAUGGGCGGAAGCCGGAUGCAGCGACGCCGGGUGGGGAAGGACGGCCUUCGGGUGGUAAACGUCUUUCAGAACGAAAGAGGCGAGAGGAAGGGAACGGGCAGAAGAGGCGCGGGCAAAUUAGGU